GGAGUGGCAUGCCAUGGGCGCAGCCUGAUGCAGCAACGCCGCGUGAGGGAUGACGGCCUUCGGGUUGUAAACCUCUUUUAGCAGGGAAGAAGCGAAAGUGACGGUACCUGCAGAAAAAGCGCCGGCUAACUACGUGCCAGCAGCCGCGGUAAUACGUAGGGCGCAAGCGUUAUCCGGAAUUAUUGGGCGUAAAGAGCUCGUAGGCGGUUUGUCGCGUCUGCUGUGAAAUCCGGAGGCUCAACCUCCGGCCUGCAGUGGGUACGGGCAGACUAGAGUGCGGUAGGGGAGAUUGGAAUUCCUGGUGUAGCGGUGGAAUGCGCAGAUAUCAGGAGGAACACCGAUGGCGAAGGCAGAUCUCUGGGCCGUAACUGACGCUGAGGAGCGAAAGGGUGGGGAGCAAACAGGCUUAGAUACCCUGGUAGUCCACCCCGUAAACGUUGGGAACUAGUUGUGGGGUCCAUUCCACGGAUUCCGUGACGCAGCUAACGCAUUAAGUUCCCCGCCUGGGGAGUACGGCCGCAAGGCUAAAACUCAAAGGAAUUGACGGGGACCCGCACAAGCGGCGGAGCAUGCGGAUUAAUUCGAUGCAACGCGAAGAACCUUACCAAGGCUUGACAUAUACGAGAACGGGCCAGAAAUGGUCAACUCUUUGGACACUCGUAAACAGGUGGUGCAUGGUUGUCGUCAGCUCGUGUCGUGAGAUGUUGGGUUAAGUCCCGCAACGAGCGCAACCCUCGUUCUAUGUUGCCAGCACGUAAUGGUGGGAACUCAUGGGAUACUGCCGGGGUCAACUCGGAGGAAGGUGGGGAUGACGUCAAAUCAUCAUGCCCCUUAUGUCUUGGCUUCACGCAUGCUACAAUGGCCGGUACAAGGGCUGCAAUACCGCGAGGUGAGCGAAUCCCAAAAGCCGGUCCCAGUUCGGAUUGAGGUCUGCAACUCGACCUCAUGAAGUCGGAGUCGCUA
Molecule: ribosomal RNA, 963 nt
Filed under: Microbacterium sp. YACS38
Lineage: Bacteria; Bacillati; Actinomycetota; Actinomycetes; Micrococcales; Microbacteriaceae
Description: bacterial SSU rRNA
Rfam family: Bacterial small subunit ribosomal RNA
Source: RNAcentral